Long non-coding RNA from Sarcophilus harrisii (Tasmanian devil), 875 nucleotides. RefSeq lists it as uncharacterized. The record is from RefSeq and is a predicted model, not a curated record. NCBI's taxonomy places the organism in Eukaryota, Metazoa, Chordata, Mammalia, Dasyuromorphia, Dasyuridae. The transcript is spliced from 6 exons.
UACAUUCCUAGGUGAGACUGGACAUUAUACCCAAUUGACUAGAAGCAUAUCCAAAGUAAGAGAUGAAAAAGUUAUCUAAUCAGAGUAUCCUGGCAAGGGUUGAAGGAACUCUUCUAAGUCGAUGAAGCAUAGCAUCUCUGACCUGACAGGAAAAUGGACUGAAUAAUUUAGAUCUCUAUCCAAAGCAUCAAAACACUUUAGUUCUCAAGGAGACAUCUUUGAUGUGAAGUGUUCUGGAUUUCCUCACUCCCUUACAUUUUUGACUAGGGUAAUGAACUGUACUGGAGGCUGGACAGAGAAAACAAAACUGAUUCCUACCUUCAAAUGACUGUAUCCAAGCAGAGUUCCUUGAAUGCUAUAAGCCACUGACUAAGUGUUGAGCUAUGCUGAAUUGAGUUCAAUGAGAUGCCAGAGCUGGAGAAUAAGAUGCUUACAGAAAAAAGAUAAAACUUCAAACCACUGAUGUUCUCUUAUAAUCUUGGAUAUUCAGUGAUUUGUGGAAGGAUACAGUCCCAGGAGAUCACUAAAUAGGUUCUAAAUUCUUUGACCCCAGCAAGUCAUACAACUGUUCUUAUAAGGUUGGCAGCUUGAAAAACAUAAAGAAUGGCAGAAGAGAGAAUUGAAGAGGAAGAUUUCAAUGAUGUCAUAGAAGUUUUUCAUCUGAAAAAAUGGAGAAGUGAAGCCACUAAACAAUAUAAGAACUAUAAGGCUUUGUUUUUGGCUUUUCGUUUUUUCUGCAAAUUUUAAGGUCAAUGAAAUAGGUUAGCUUGAUCAAAAACUAUAUUAAACAGGAUGAUUUGGGGGACCAUUCUUCUGGUAGGCAUGUUAUGCAAACUGAGCCUCACUUUUGUAUGGGUUUUUUGAAAUUCAUUGUG